UAGCGUAGUGGAUCAGCGCAUCAGACUUCGGAUCUGAAGGUUGUGGGUCGAAUUCCAC
Molecule: transfer RNA, 58 nt
Filed under: Selaginella moellendorffii
Lineage: Eukaryota; Viridiplantae; Streptophyta; Lycopodiopsida; Selaginellales; Selaginellaceae
Rfam family: tRNA
About the family: Transfer RNA (tRNA) molecules are approximately 80 nucleotides in length.
Source: Rfam by way of RNAcentral